GAGCUAAUUCCUACAUCAUUGCGACGCG
RNAcentral lists this small RNA (28 nucleotides) under Bombyx mori (domestic silkworm). Its description in RNAcentral is "ovarian small RNA-15846". The record is from RNAcentral. Lineage: Eukaryota; Metazoa; Arthropoda; Insecta; Lepidoptera; Bombycidae.